UCUAUUUUCUUUAUGCUGUUAACCUUAGGCGGGGAGACUGGGGGAUCUUCAUUUAUAUUUUAAAAUUUGAUUCACUCUGCAGUUUGUCUCCUGUCUAUGUAUCCUUUUGAGAAACCGUUUAUGAGUGAUCAUUCUUCCAUCAGAUUGAACAGGAUCCAGGGGGAAGUACCAAGCCUGUCCCAUCGGCCAUCCUGUGUGUCAUGUCCUGUGACCCAGUGGAUGCUCAGCAUCCUCCAGCUGAAGAAACAGAUUGCCUUAGGUACAUGAAAGGUGAGGACACCUACUAUCCCCAUGGAGCCCAGGUGGGCCUGGGAGUCUGCUGUUUGUACAGCCGGUGGGCUCGUGUUGCUUUGGGCAUCCCUGUGCCUGAAUUCCUGCAGUACACUCGGUGCCUGUUUCCUAAUCUGCAAAACUGGAAUGAUGUUAACCAUCCCGCAGGUUUG
This is a long non-coding RNA of Camelus dromedarius (Arabian camel), 443 nucleotides long. RefSeq lists it as uncharacterized. The record is from RefSeq and is a predicted model, not a curated record. NCBI's taxonomy places the organism in Eukaryota, Metazoa, Chordata, Mammalia, Artiodactyla, Camelidae. The transcript is spliced from 3 exons.